UACGUAGGGUGCAAGCGUUAAUCGGAAUUACUGGGCGUAAAGCGUGCGCAGGCGGUUAUGUAAGACAGUUGUGAAAUCCCCGGGCUCAACCUGGGAACUGCAUCUGUGACUGCAUAGCUAGAGUACGGUAGAGGGGGAUGGAAUUCCGCGUGUAGCAGUGAAAUGCGUAGAUAUGCGGAGGAACACCGAUGGCGAAGGCAAUCCCCUGGACCUGUACUGACGCUCAUGCACGAAAGCGUGGGGAGCAACAGG
RNAcentral lists this ribosomal RNA (252 nucleotides) under uncultured bacterium. RNAcentral describes it as "partial 16S ribosomal RNA". It matches the Rfam family "Bacterial small subunit ribosomal RNA", at positions 524 to 775 of the family's 1533-position model. The record is from RNAcentral.